Molecule: transfer RNA, 90 nt
Filed under: Aromatoleum sp.
Lineage: Bacteria; Pseudomonadati; Pseudomonadota; Betaproteobacteria; Rhodocyclales; Rhodocyclaceae
Description: tRNA-Ser
Rfam family: tRNA
About the family: Transfer RNA (tRNA) molecules are approximately 80 nucleotides in length. Their secondary structure includes four short double-helical elements and three loops (D, anti-codon, and T loops).
Source: RNAcentral
GGAUGGGUGGCCGAGCGGUUGAAGGCACCGGUCUUGAAAACCGGCAAGGGCGCAAGUCCUUCGUGGGUUCGAAUCCCACUCCAUCCGCCA